UCUACAAAUACCCGACUGCUCUGUCCGUUCCCCCUCUUCCACUCGUCUCGCCAUUAACAAGGGCGGAAGCUCCGGGAAACAAUUUUCUUCCCCCAAAUCCUCCAGACAAAGCCCUACCACCUGAGCCCCAAACCCAGCUAACUCUCACGCGCGCGCGCUCCCCCUCAGCGUGGAAUUUAUGCCCGAAUUUUCUGCCAAUUUGGGUUCACCGGCCAUUCGUGGCAGGAGUUCAGGAUAGAGCUCGCGGGGAUGAGGCUGCACGGGGAUGUGUCGGAUGGCGAAGAGGAUGCGGUGAUGGAUCCAGCUCUGCUGUCAUCGUCGUCGCCGAACGGAGCGGCAGUGGCAGCUGCCGUCUCUGCGCCGAGGCUGGUGGUGGGCUACGCCCUCACCAAGAAGAAGGUGAAGAGCUUCCUCCAGCCCAAGCUGCUCUUGCUGGCGAGGAAGAAAGGAAUUAGUUUCGUAUCAAUUGAUGAGACUCAUCCUCUCUCCGAGCAAGGACCAUUUGAUAUUAUACUGCACAAGAAAACUAGCAAGGAGUGGCAGCGAGUUCUGGAGGAUUAUCAUGAAGUGCAUCCAGAAGUCACUGUUCUUGAUCCACCCAAUGCCAUCGAGCAUCUAAACAAUCGACAAUCGAUGCUUGAAGAAGUAGCAGAUCUGAACCUGUCCAGUUUCUAUGAAGAAGUUUGCACUCCACGCCAACUGGUCAUUAUGAAAGAUCCGUCCUCUAUACCAACUGCAGUUGCCAUGGCUGGACUAACCUUGCCAUUAGUUGCCAAGCCAUUGGUUGUUGAUGGAACUUCAAAAUCUCAUGAGCUAUCUCUUGCAUACGACGAGGCAUCAUUGUCAAUGUUGGAUCCACCUCUGGUACUCCAGGAAUUUGUGAAUCAUGGCGGGAUCCUCUUUAAGGUGUACAUCAUUGGUGAAGCAAUACAGGUUGUCCGCAGGUUUUCUGUUCCUGAUGUUAACACCUAUGACUUACUAAACAAUGUUGGCAUCUAUCGACUUCCAAGAGUUUCAUGUGCUGCAGCUAGUGCAGACCAUGCAGACCUUGAUCCUCGUAUUGCAGAGCUUCCUCCAAGACCACUUCUAGAGAAACUGAGCAGGGAGCUACGUAGUCGGCUGGGUCUGAGAUUGUUCAACGUAGAUAUGAUUAGAGAACUUGGAGCAAAUGAUCGGUACUAUAUAAUUGAUAUCAAUUACUUCCCAGGCGAAACAAUUUUAUCCCAGCCGAAGGGAAAAGAAGUGUAUCAACCCGAGAUGUCUCUGGCCGUCUAGGCCAGUUUAACACUGUUCCAGUAGGGAUAUCUUCUCCACUAACCAAGGUUUACUUGGUUGGAGCAUGAGUAGAGUCUUGCUAACUGUAUGUUGUUCAGCCCAGGGGCAGAUUGUUCCAACUCUUUACAGGGUAUGGGAAAAUGCCAGGCUAUGAACACAUAUUCACUGACUUCUUGCAAAGUCUUGGGCAAAACAAUUAUAAAAGGAGCUUGAGCGAGGGCUGAAGUGCGAGGAAGUUUGUGAUUGAACAACAGGAGAGCAUGUAUGGGCGGAAACCAUACUUUUUCAGAAAUGUAUAUAUCUGGGAUAUAAGCUGGAACCCACCAAAGGCUUGAAGAAGUCCCAAACUCACAGUGCUGAUCUUCUCAGAACUCACAAGUGGCGCCACAUACAGGGUCAGGAGUAAGGGGAUAAAGAAGAAAAGCUCGAAUGACCCUUGUUUGUAUAAAUCGGUGAAUAUUGUAUUCUGGGUGCCUUUGUGUAGGAUUGUUUUGAACAUAGUUUGGUGAUCCUCUCAUCAUUAAUCUUGACUCAAGUUUCAUAAAGUAGAAUUGUUAACAUA
Molecule: RNA transcript, 1837 nt
Organism: Lolium perenne
Lineage: Eukaryota; Viridiplantae; Streptophyta; Magnoliopsida; Poales; Poaceae
Gene name: inositol-tetrakisphosphate 1-kinase 2
Source: RefSeq, a predicted model, not a curated record